GACGAACGCUGGCGGCGUGCCUAACACAUGCAAGUCGAACGGACAGGUCCUGCUCUUGUGGGGUGCUCGAGUGGCGAACGGGUGAGUAACACGCGAGUAACCUGUCCCUGACUUUGGGAUAUCUUCAGGAAACUGGGGCUAAUACCGCGUAGGAGCUCCUGCUGCACGGGGGUGGUUGGUAAGAUUCGGCGGUUGGGGAUGGACUCGCGGCUUAUCAGCUUGUUGGUGUAGUAGUGGCGUACCAAGGCUUUGACGGGUAGCCGGCCUGGGAGGGUAGACAGCCACAGUAGGCCUGCGGUAGGGACCAGACUCCUACGGGAGGCAGCAGGCGAGAAUAUUACGCAAUAGGCGGAAGCCAGAUGCGGCGGCGCCGCGUGCGGGAAGACCGCCUUCGAGUUAUAAACCGCUUUCGCCUGAACCAAGGCGUGAUUGACGGUAAUGAAUCAAAAAGCCCCGGCUAACUACGUG
This 468-nucleotide ribosomal RNA is filed under the name uncultured bacterium. RNAcentral's name for it is "partial 16S ribosomal RNA". It matches the Rfam family "Bacterial small subunit ribosomal RNA", at positions 28 to 507 of the family's 1533-position model. The record is from RNAcentral.